Long non-coding RNA from Lagopus leucura (white-tailed ptarmigan), 171 nucleotides. RefSeq lists it as uncharacterized. The record is from RefSeq and is a predicted model, not a curated record. The transcript has 3 exons. Lineage: Eukaryota; Metazoa; Chordata; Aves; Galliformes; Phasianidae.
UUCCAGUGGAGUUUACAUCAUCUACAACACCAGUUGCUUUUCUGUUACAUCCCAUUAACUUUAAGAGAAGCUGCCAGACUUGCUUCUACCAAGCAAAUGAUGUCUCCUUGUCCUCUUCUUUCUCUCUGGGAGACUUGAACCUCUGGCUGAUAUUCGUCCCUCUGUUUCUGC